This 270-nucleotide ribosomal RNA is filed under the name uncultured archaeon. Its description in RNAcentral is "partial 16S ribosomal RNA". It matches the Rfam family "Archaeal small subunit ribosomal RNA", at positions 477 to 747 of the family's 1478-position model. The record is from RNAcentral.
CUGCAGCCCGAGUGGUGGUCGUUUUUAUUGAGCCUAAAGCGUCCGUAGCCGGACUAGUAAACCCUUGGGUAAAUUGGGCAGCUUAACUGUCCAAAUUCCGAGGGGACUGCUAGUCUUGGGACCGGGAGAGGUCAGAGGUACUCAAGGGGUAGGGGCUAAAUCCUGUAAUCCUUUGGGGACCACCAGUGGCGAAGGCGUCUGACUAGAACGGAUCCGACGGUAAGGGACGAAACCCUGGGGCGCGAACCGGAUUAGAUACCCGAGUAGUCC